RNAcentral lists this transfer RNA (75 nucleotides) under Actinomycetes bacterium. Its description in RNAcentral is "tRNA-Thr". It matches the Rfam family "tRNA". From Rfam's summary of the family: Transfer RNA (tRNA) molecules are approximately 80 nucleotides in length. Their secondary structure includes four short double-helical elements and three loops (D, anti-codon, and T loops). The record is from RNAcentral. Lineage: Bacteria; Bacillati; Actinomycetota; Actinomycetes. RNAcentral also lists the same sequence under 4 other names.
GCCUCUGUAGCUCAGUGGUAGAGCAACCGCCUUGUAAGCGGUAGGUCGUCAGUUCAAUCCUGACCGGAGGCUCCA